Cucumis sativus (cucumber) is the source of this 966-nucleotide long non-coding RNA. RefSeq lists it as hypothetical. NCBI's taxonomy places the organism in Eukaryota, Viridiplantae, Streptophyta, Magnoliopsida, Cucurbitales, Cucurbitaceae. The transcript has 2 exons. The record is from RefSeq and is a predicted model, not a curated record.
CUACAUCCCACCUUACGAUGCUUUCGGUUUCACUAACCAAUAAAUUACCACCACGUCAGAGAAUAUUUCAGUCUUUAUAUCUUGCUCACGGAGCUCCCGUGUGACUGCGGUGCACUGGAUCCUUCCUCACCGAUUCAGGCGACUAUAAAACUCUCCGAGAUUUCCGAUCUUUCUCUCACACUCCGCGCCCUCGCUCUCAUUUUUCCCCCAAAUCGAUAGACUUUUGAAUUGGAAUUUCAUUUCUCUAUGAGGACCGGAAUGCGGUACCACGCCGGCGGUGAGGAUCACCGGCGGGAGUCUCAUUUUCUUGAAGCUUGUUUUCUCUGCCGGAGGCCGCUCGGAUUCAACCGAGACAUUUUCAUGUACAAAGGAAACACGCCGUUCUGUAGCAAAGAAUGCCGGCAGGAACAGAUUGAGAUCGAUGAAGCGCAGGAGAAGAGCUGGAGAAUCUCAUCGUCUUCGUCCUCGUCUUCGGCAGAUAAAACGACGACGACUAAUAAGAAGAAUGUACGAACGGAUACAGUUGCAGUGGCCUAAAGUUGGAUGAAGGAAUUUUGAGGAAAAAGGAAAAAAAAAAAAAUAGGGUGAUAACGGAACCCUAGAAAUUUUCGGGGAGAGUAAGAAAAGAUAAAAUCAAAUGAGAGAGGAAAAGAGAUGGAGAUUGAGAUUGAGAUUGAGUGGAAUGAAGAAUUGAGAAAAUAUUUGAAAUCUCUUCAUGUGAAGAAGAAGAUUGGAUUGGCAGACACACUAUACAUACAGAACUGUUCCUGUUCCGUUCUGCUUCAAUUCAAUCUUCCUACUUUUUCUUUUUUUCUUUUUGGUUUGUGGAGAUAUUCAUAUUACUGUGUUUACUAAAUUCUGUGGAAAAGAAAAUGAUGAUCUGCCAUGGAAAUUCUGUUGAAAUUAUUACGAAUUAUAGGAUUUGGGAUAAUUUUUGACCGAAUACAUCUUUCCAAAUUAUAAUCA